AGACAGGUGCUGCAUGGCUGUCGUCAGCUCGUGUUGUGAAAUGUUGGGUUAAGUCCCGCAACGAGCGCAACCCUUAUCCUUUGUUGCCAGCGGUUCGGCCGGGAACUCAAAGGAGACUGCCAGUGAUAAACUGGAGGAAGGUGGGGAUGACGUCAAGUCAUCAUGGCCCUUACGAGUAGGGCUACACACGUGCUACAAUGGCGUAUACAAAGAGAAGCGACCUCGCGAGAGCAAGCGGACCUCAUAAAGUACGUCGUAGUCCGGAUUGGAGUCUGCAACUCGACUCCAUGAAGUCGGAAUCGCUAGUAAUCGUAGAUCAGAAUGCUACGGUGAAUACGUUCCCGGGCCUUGUACACACCGCCCGUCACACCAUGGGAGUGGGUUGCAAAAGAAGUAGGUAGCUUAACCUUCGGGAGGGCGCUUACCACUUUGUGAUUCAUGACUGGGGUGAAGUCGUAACAAGGUAACCGUAGGGGAACCUGCGGUUGGAUCACCUCCUUACCUAAAGA
Molecule: ribosomal RNA, 509 nt
Filed under: Serratia marcescens
Lineage: Bacteria; Pseudomonadati; Pseudomonadota; Gammaproteobacteria; Enterobacterales; Yersiniaceae
Description: bacterial SSU rRNA
Rfam family: Bacterial small subunit ribosomal RNA
Source: RNAcentral